Molecule: long non-coding RNA, 867 nt
Filed under: Medicago truncatula (barrel medic)
Lineage: Eukaryota; Viridiplantae; Streptophyta; Magnoliopsida; Fabales; Fabaceae
Description: long non-coding RNA (MTRU_LNC000855)
Source: RNAcentral
GGCGGUUGCGGUGGUUGCCAUGGUGGCUGGCUUUGUUUGGAUUUAGGAACAAGGUAUGUCGGAGGGACAAAGUGGGAAAUGAAUUAUAUAUGUGUUUUAGUGAUCAAGAAGGGAGUGGUCUAUCUUGCUUCUUAUCUGCAUGGUGUAAUUGGAUGGUUGGUUUAUUGCUGCGUCAUAUUUAUUUAUUUUGUGGACCUUAUGAAAAAGGAAAAAAUAUUUUCUUUGUUUUACAUUUUCACUUUUUUCUUAUAUUUGUUAUCCAAGCUCCAACCAUUGUUUGGCUUAUAAUAUUUUACAAAUUUUAGAACUUUGAAACAAAAUAUUAUUUACUUGAAUCACACACUUAUGUGAUAAAAAAAUAAAAACUUCAUAUAUGUCGAACAAAGUUUUCUAUAGGCAAAACAAUGUUUUUUUUUUUUUAAGUGCAUCUAUAGGUAAAACAAAGUAUUUUUUUUCUUCUUAAGUUCGUCCAAUUAAUAUUUAAUGUUGUUUUGUCAAAUGAAGAGAAUAUUUAAUUCAGAAUUUCGUCUAGAGGUAAAUAAAUUUGGAUUAAAGAGAGUGAAAUUUAGAAAUAUAAAAACAAUAAAUAAAACAAAACAAAAACCAAUUAAAGAUAGUGAAAUUUAGAAACACUCUUAAAACGGGUGUCGUAACUACUUCAUGUUUGUGCUUUGUUGAAUCUUAGGUAUAUUUUGCUAGCGGAGCUCUCUCCAAUCUAUCAUGGUUUAUCUUUGGCUCGUGAUCUGCAUGUUGCGAAAUUAGUGUGCUAUACAAACUCUCUUCUCAGCAUCGGUCUCAUUAUCGGUUCAACCAUGAAUUACUGCAUUUAUGCUGCUCUCAUCCAAGACAUAAAGGACAUGAUAUGCC